This 199-nucleotide ribosomal RNA is filed under the name uncultured bacterium. RNAcentral's name for it is "partial 16S ribosomal RNA". It matches the Rfam family "Bacterial small subunit ribosomal RNA", at positions 1288 to 1500 of the family's 1533-position model. The record is from RNAcentral.
CCUAUUCGGAUUGCAGGCUGAAACUCGCCUGCAUGAAGCUGGAAUUGCUAGUAAUCAUAGGUCAGCAUACUAUGGUGAAUACGUUCCCGGGCCUUGUACACACCGCCCGUCACACCAUGAGAGUUGAGAAUACCCGAAGUCCAUGUCAAAGUGGCCGAAGGUAGGCUUGAUGAUUGGGGUGAAGUCGUAACAAGGUACC